ACAACCGAUUUUCAUAACACUCGAGUAAGGGUCUUACCCGAAUAUGAUGUCUUUAUUCAUACUUCUGAUGGCACACGCAUUCCAGCUCACACAAGCAUCCUGGUAAUUUCUCUCCCAAUUUUUCAUUCUUUCAUAAUAUAUAUUCUUUUUGCCAACUAAUUCAUUUCUUAAUUAAUAGGCCUCGGUGUCACCGGUUUUCGAGAAUAUUCUAGAACAACCGCGUAAACAACGAAGCUCCGAAAGAAUAAUCAAAAUCAACGGCGUUCCUUCCACCGCCGUAACCGCCUUCAU
This 291-nucleotide long non-coding RNA is filed under the name Trifolium pratense (red clover). RNAcentral describes it as "long non-coding RNA (TPRA_LNC002596)". The record is from RNAcentral. Lineage: Eukaryota; Viridiplantae; Streptophyta; Magnoliopsida; Fabales; Fabaceae.